RNAcentral lists this non-coding RNA (21 nucleotides) under Caenorhabditis elegans. The record is from RNAcentral. Lineage: Eukaryota; Metazoa; Nematoda; Chromadorea; Rhabditida; Rhabditidae.
UUAAAAAAUAUUGUCUAUAAA